UUUGUCUGGAAACCAUAGAGCUGUGGCACCACCUGAUCCCAUUCCGAACUCAGAAGUGAAACACAGUAUCGCCGAUGGUAGUGUGGGGUCUCCCCAUGCGAGAGUAGGUCAUUUCCAGGCGC
This 122-nucleotide ribosomal RNA is filed under the name Shewanella frigidimarina NCIMB 400. The record is from RNAcentral. Lineage: Bacteria; Pseudomonadati; Pseudomonadota; Gammaproteobacteria; Alteromonadales; Shewanellaceae.